AUGUAAUGCCUAUAGCGUUAAUGCACCUAGGAUCCCAUUAGAACUUUGUCAUUAAGUUCUCUUGAGCUAGAGUAGUAUUGGGAUGGGUGACCUCUCAAGAAGUCCUAGUGUUUUAUAUG
Molecule: non-coding RNA, 119 nt
Organism: Picea glauca (white spruce)
Lineage: Eukaryota; Viridiplantae; Streptophyta; Pinopsida; Pinales; Pinaceae
Source: Rfam